This 93-nucleotide transfer RNA is filed under the name Solirubrobacter taibaiensis. RNAcentral describes it as "tRNA-Sec". It matches the Rfam family "Selenocysteine transfer RNA". Lineage: Bacteria; Bacillati; Actinomycetota; Thermoleophilia; Solirubrobacterales; Solirubrobacteraceae. The record is from RNAcentral.
GGAGCGGCCCGGGGCUGGUGCCCCAGCGAGUCUUCAAAACUCGUCGGCCGUCGUAACCCGGCGGUGGGUCGGUUCGAUUCCGGCGCCGCUCCG